ACGCUACGGACUAAAGAAAAUCCGUUGGCUUUAUUGACCGUGAGGGUUCAAGUCCCUCUACCCCCAAAAUUA
Molecule: transfer RNA, 72 nt
Filed under: Aptychella planula
Lineage: Eukaryota; Viridiplantae; Streptophyta; Bryopsida; Hypnales; Pylaisiadelphaceae
Description: partial trnL
Source: RNAcentral